AUUGAACGCUGGCGGAAUGCUUUACACAUGCAAGUCGAACGAUGAACCUUAGCUUGCUAAGGGGAUUAGUGGCGAACGGGUGAGUAAUGUAUCGGAACGUAUCCAAUAAUGGGGGAUAACUAGUCGAAAGAUUAGCUAAUACCGCAUACGUCCUACGGGAGAAAGCUAGGGACCUUCGGGCCUGGCGUUAAUGGAGCGGCCGAUAUCUGAUUAGCUAGUUGGUGGGGUAAAGGCUCACCAAGGCGACGAUCAGUAGCUGGUCUGAGAGGACGACCAGCACACUGGAACUGAGACACGGUCCAGACUCCUACGGGAGGCAGCAGUGGGGAAUUUUGGACAAUGGGCGAAAGCCUGAUCCGGCCAUUCCGCGUGAGUGAAGAAGGCCUUCGGGUUGUAAAGCUCUUUCGCAAGGGAAGAAAACUUAAGCUCUAACAUAGCCUGAGGUUGACGGUACCUUGAUAAGAAGCACCGGCUAACUACGUGCCAGCCGCCGCCGUAA
Molecule: ribosomal RNA, 499 nt
Filed under: uncultured bacterium
Lineage: Bacteria
Description: partial 16S ribosomal RNA
Rfam family: Bacterial small subunit ribosomal RNA
Source: RNAcentral